ACGAUGCAGACUCGGUGAUGAGUUGGCUUAUUGCUAACUCAGUGCCGCAGGGGAAGCUGUUAAGUAUGCCGCCUGGGGAGUACGAUCGCAAGAUUGAAACAGUGCCGCAGGGGAAGCCGUAAAGUUUGCCGCCUGGGGAGUACGGUCGCAAGACUGAAACUUAAAUGAAUUGGCGGGGGAGCACCACAAGGGGUGAAGCCUGCGGUUCAAUUGGAGUCAA
RNAcentral lists this ribosomal RNA (220 nucleotides) under uncultured crenarchaeote. Its description in RNAcentral is "partial 16S ribosomal RNA". It matches the Rfam family "Archaeal small subunit ribosomal RNA", at positions 752 to 915 of the family's 1478-position model. Lineage: Archaea; Thermoproteati; Thermoproteota. The record is from RNAcentral.